UACCAGCACCCCGAGUGGUCGGGACGAUUAUUGGGCCUAAAGCGUCCGUAGCCGGUUCUGCAAGUCUUCCGUUAAAUCCAGCCGCUCAACGGAUGGGCCGCGGAGGAUACUAUAGGACUAGGAGGCGGGAGAGGCAAGCGGUACUCAGUGGGUAGGGGUAAAAUCCUUUGAUCCAUUGAAGACCACCAGUGGCGAAGGCGGCUUGCCAGAACGCGCUCGACGGUGAGGGAUGAAAGCUGGGGGAGCAAACCGG
RNAcentral lists this ribosomal RNA (253 nucleotides) under uncultured bacterium. RNAcentral's name for it is "partial 16S ribosomal RNA". It matches the Rfam family "Archaeal small subunit ribosomal RNA", at positions 474 to 727 of the family's 1478-position model. The record is from RNAcentral.